GUUGCAAUGGUCAGAAUCUCACUGACUAUUGAUGAUUCCUAAGGUGAAUUCUGAGAAAGAAAGACUCCUGUUGACAUCCAAAUGAAAGAACAAAAAAGGGGCUUUCUCCAACCGGCUAAGAAAAAAAAGGCAAAAGUAACUGCAAUCUGAAUGCGACCCUUCAUAGGCUAGUUAAAUAUAUCUCGUAAACUUCGACAAAC
This 200-nucleotide unclassified non-coding RNA is filed under the name Hevea brasiliensis (rubber tree). Lineage: Eukaryota; Viridiplantae; Streptophyta; Magnoliopsida; Malpighiales; Euphorbiaceae. The record is from RNAcentral.